UUCAAUUGAAUAAAAAAAAUGGUUGUGGAAAAAAGGGUUGUCAGCCUGUAGGCCAGCCUAUAUUCCAAUAAAUAACUUUUUGUGAAAAAUGACAAUGGGAGAUUAUAUUCUGACUGUGGAGUUCCAACUUUUUUGUGGAAUAAUUUUUGGAAAAAAUCUUUUUGGAUACAAAUUAGAAGAGUCCAGCAUAAGCAAGCUUGAGGGCGUAGAAUGUAUUCUAGAUACACAGCAUGCAAUUCCCAGAGACACCCAAAGAGAGGAAAAUAGCAUCUAUUACAACUUCCCCGGAAACCUUUGGGCCAGGUUUUGGAAGAGGAUUCAUGUCACCAUGUGAGGAAUUGAACCAGCAGAGAGGUACAGUACAGCAACUGCACUUACCAAAUAAUGGACGUGUUUUGGCCAUCCUGAGUCUCGCUUUGCUGGCAAUUAAUCAGCAGGAGACCUGACGCAUGCUGGAGACAGACGGCCACACUAAAGCUGCCCGUUUUAGAGCAAAUACUGUCACUAUAUCUCACAGCGGUUUUGAAACAAAGUAAUAUUAGUUACUUGGUCAAAAGAAGGAGGUCUCUGCCUCAGAGACCCGCAAACGAGAGACAGCGAGGAGACAGAUACCCGGACAGAUUGGUUUUGGCAAUAAAAGGCUUGGCUCGGCUGAUUCAUGUCAGGGCCAGGCUGGGGUUUCCAUACUCAGCAUGGUCUCAAGAGCCUCGGCGCUGACCUAGAUCUCUAAACUAUGCCUGCAAGACCCUGAGGGUUUGCCUUGACUCUGCAGGGGGACUCUAGCUAACAGGGGAAGACGUAUAUGGGGUUGUCUCAGAGGCCACAGAAGCCCCAAGAACCCAUCAAGCUGGGGAUAACAGCAAAAAACUUAAAAUAGAAACCAUUUCACUUAUAAUACUUGAAAUCUCGAAUUAAAAUUUAUUUACAACAUGAACAACCACACAUCUAAUGUGAGUGGCGCUUGUCUUGUUUAAAAAGUCAAUUCAUGAAGUAAUGAAUAUGGUAAACUGCUCCAGGUUUAUGCCUUUGGUUAAAACACUUCUUACCUCAUACAGUCUGACCAUAAAUGUAUUUUUUUUUUUUUUUUUCAAAAUACACUUAAUUGAAUACUGUAUAGAUGGAUACUAUAUAGAUGAAUGGAGGGCGGUGUUAUAUUAGUACCAAGAACUACUUUAGUAGUAUCCAAAUUUUUCAUUAAUGCUGUUCAAAGAUGUCAAAUGUAUUGAGUCUUGAGUCUCUUCUAUUUAACAAGUUUGCGUUGUCCCUAAUUCAAGUGAAUGUAAUUUAAUGCUGUAUCAUGCAAUAACAGUCUGCAUCCAUGGUCCAACAUCUGGUUUGGAAAUGCAUUAAAAACACCACUCUUUUCACGAUAAAUAACAGACAGAUUCUAAGAUCAGCAUUUUCCAUCAAAUUCUUUACCAUAAUCAGAUACCCAUCUCCAAGAAAAUCUUUCCCAGAAUGCCUGAGCUUGUGGGUUCGACCGUGUCUUGGUCUCCAAAUGAGCUGGCAAUUGAGAAACUGGAGCCAAAUUGCAAAAAAUCAGGUAGGAAAUCUCUUCAGUGUCAGAGUGAGCUAGAUGAGGCAUGGCAUGGGCAUUGACCUUGUCAUCAGUUCCGUUUUGACAAGGUAAGAAGGCGGGAUUGUGGUCAGAGUCCAUCAUAUUUGGCCUGUCAGCUGCUCUACUCUUUUGUCUAUGUGACUUGGAGCUCUAAACCAGAGACGUUUUAUCACAGCGGUAUGUAGUUGUUUUCUCACUGCUCGUGAUUUUAGGCAUUUAUAAAAUGCUUUGCAAAUCAAACAUGCAUAUCCAUCUCAUUUUUCUUCGCAGCUUAAUUGAAAUACGCAGCGAGUCAUUAAAAAGCUGAAUUUUUUUGCUUUAAUGAACAUGCCAGCUUGGUGAUGUCCCUGCCCAUCAGAUACUAACUAUACGUUUAUUCAUUGUUAUGAAAAUGUUCCAGGACCAAGGCUGACUGAAUAAAAGUUCAGUUCCUAUUUCCUUUAUUAAACUGGACUUUAUUUUUAAUGAGUUAUUGAGUUAUAGACUGUAUUCAGUUUUAUUAUCUUCUUGCAGAAAGGUUGUCCUGCUCUAGUGGCGUAGUGCAUUUUUCACUACAUCUGGAGCGUGACAUUUUUUCUCUAUGCUGAGACGCACCUGUGGUGUGAAAAAAGGAAGACGGUUGACAGGCGAGACAGUGAUAAACAACAUCAUUAAUUUUCAUUAAUUUUACAGGUAUGUGAAAAUGAGCUCCAAAUGCUUGCAAAAACAACACAGUGGUGUUUAUCCUCCUAAGGGUUUCUUGUUUCCAUGUUACAACAUUAACAGUCAGUAUGUCUUUG
Carassius gibelio (silver crucian carp) is the source of this 2337-nucleotide long non-coding RNA. RefSeq lists it as uncharacterized. The record is from RefSeq and is a predicted model, not a curated record. The transcript has 3 exons. Lineage: Eukaryota; Metazoa; Chordata; Actinopteri; Cypriniformes; Cyprinidae.